AAUGAACGUUGGCGGCGUGGAUUAGGCAUGCAAGUCGAGCGAUAACCGUAGCAAUACGGCGAAAGCGGCGAAAGGGAGGGUAAUGCAUGGAUAUCUACCCUCGGGUCUGGGAUAGCCGCGGGAAACUGCGGGUAAUACCAGAUAACAUCUCCGGAUCAAAGGUAUGAGUUCGCCUGAGGAGGGGUCCAUGUCCUAUUAGCUAGUUGGUGAGGUAACGGCCCACCAAGGCUGAGAUGGGUACGAGGUGUGAGAGCACGACCUCGCUCACUGGGACUGAGACACUGCCCAGACACCUACGGGUGGCUGCAGUCGAGAAUCUUCGGCAAUGGGCGCAAGCCUGACCGAGCGACGCCGCGUGCGGGAUGAAGGCCUUCGGGUUGUAAACCGCUGUCAGUGUGGAGGAAAUGCCUAGCGGUAAUCUCCUAGGUUUGACCUAUACGCAGAGGAAGGAUGGGCUAAGUUCGUGCCAGCCGCCGCGGUAA
RNAcentral lists this ribosomal RNA (482 nucleotides) under uncultured bacterium. RNAcentral describes it as "partial 16S ribosomal RNA". It matches the Rfam family "Bacterial small subunit ribosomal RNA", at positions 29 to 523 of the family's 1533-position model. The record is from RNAcentral.